RNAcentral lists this ribosomal RNA (561 nucleotides) under fungal endophyte. Its description in RNAcentral is "eukaryotic LSU rRNA". The stretch from base 192 to 345 matches the Rfam family "5.8S ribosomal RNA". Lineage: Eukaryota; Fungi. The record is from RNAcentral.
AGAGUCUGAUCUCGUUGGUGACCAGCGGAGGGUCAUUACAGAGUUAUCCAACUCCCAAACCCAUGUGAACAUAUCUCUUUGUUGCCUCGGCGCAAGCUACCCGGGACCUCGCGCCCCGGGCGGCCCGCCGGCGGACAAACCAAACUCUGUUAUCUUCGUUGAUUAUCUGAGUGUCUUAUUUAAUAAGUCAAAACUUUCAACAACGGAUCUCUUGGUUCUGGCAUCGAUGAAGAACGCAGCGAAAUGCGAUAAGUAAUGUGAAUUGCAGAAUUCAGUGAAUCAUCGAAUCUUUGAACGCACAUUGCGCCCAUUAGUAUUCUAGUGGGCAUGCCUGUUCGAGCGUCAUUUCAACCCCUAAGCACAGCUUAUUGUUGGGCGUCUACGUCUGUAGUGCCUCAAAGACAUUGGCGGAGCGGCAGCAGUCCUCUGAGCGUAGUAAUUCUUUAUCUCGCUUCUGUUAGGCGCUGCCCCCCCGGCCGUAAAACCCCCAAUUUUUUCUGGUUGACCUCGGAUCAGGUAGGAAUACCCGCUGAACUUAAGCAUAUCAAAAGGCGGGAGGAA